UAAAGAAUGAAAUGGAAACACACAGUGCAGGUUGAGGGGGCAAACUGAAUGCAGAUGGCAGGUGAGAUGUUGGAUGUGGACGACUAAUCUGUGUCAUACUGAUUGAUGGCUUUACAAUGUAAUACAUUUAGCGUUUGUUUGCUUAAAUCACACACCUCUGGCUAGAUAGUCAAAGGGAACGAAAUCGUUCUAUUCAGGGAAAUAUCUGCACUGCAGUGAGCAUUACUGCAUUAUUUAGGACAUCUGAGUUGCAGAAUGAGCUAAAAUGUCUGUUCACACAUGGGUGGACAGAAAAUUUAUGUCAGCCAUGAAUUAAGACAGUGCUAGGACAGAAGAAGGGCACUACUUGGAAACCUGAAAUGUAAGACUCAUAGAGCCUUGGAGUGUAAAGGUUGUCCUGAGGGCUGGGUGAAGAGGGAAACGGGGAGAUGUUGGCCAAAGGUUACAAACGUUGAGUUGUAAAAUAAAAUAGUGCAACCCGCACAUCUAACGUACAGCCUGCUGACUGUAGUUACUCUCAUAGUGCGACUGUAUACUUGGAAUCACCACACAGAGACAAAAUGGUAAUCUCGAGUUGACAGAAGUAUAAAUUACUUUCUUGUGAGAAUUAUUGCACAGUGUGUACACUUGUCAAAUAAUCGCUUUGUAGGCCUCACCACGAGUGGAGUGAGAUACCAAGAAAUGUGAAGAAGUGCCUGGUUGGCCUCUGUGUGGUUUCCUGUCCUGAGUCCCUCCUGUGACAGUGGGCAGAAGAGGACUGUUUAGUGCACGUGCUUGAAAGAUUGAUCUCUGAAGACUCCACUUGUCUGAGGAAGAAGUCGGGAAGAAGAGGAAGAAGAAAGAAAAGGAGUCAGGAAUGGCUCCUUCUCAGGAGCAUUAAACAGAAGGUUUUCAGCUUGAAAGAUUGAUCUCUGAAGAAUCCACUCAUCUGAGGAAGAAGUCGGGAAGAGGAGGAAGA
RNAcentral lists this long non-coding RNA (958 nucleotides) under Camelus dromedarius (Arabian camel). Its description in RNAcentral is "lncRNA (ENSCDRG00005001213.1)". Lineage: Eukaryota; Metazoa; Chordata; Mammalia; Artiodactyla; Camelidae. The record is from RNAcentral.